CUCCCUCUAUCUACUUUUGAGUGAUUUAUCUUUGUUCAUUAAAACGCAGAAUAAAAACGAUUGUUCAUUGACAAGUGCAUAGGUUA
Molecule: unclassified non-coding RNA, 86 nt
Filed under: uncultured bacterium
Lineage: Bacteria
Description: partial 16S-23S ribosomal RNA intergenic spacer
Source: RNAcentral